UGGGGAAUAUUGGACAAUGGGCGCAAGCCUGAUCCAGCCAUGCCGCGUGAGUGAUGAAGGCCCUAGGGUUGUAAAGCUCUUUCACCGGUGAAGAUAAUGACGGUAACCGGAGAAGAAGCCCCGGCUAACUUCGUGCCAGCAGCCGCGGUAAUACGAAGGGGGCUAGCGUUGUUCGGAAUUACUGGGCGUAAAGCGCACGUAGGCGGAUCGAUCAGUUAGGGGUGAAAUCCCGGGGCUCAACCCCGGAAUUGCCUCUAAUACUGUCGAUCUGGAGUUCGAGAGAGGUGAGUGGAAUUCCGAGUGUAGAGGUGAAAUUCGUAGAUAUUCGGAGGAACACCAGUGGCGAAGGCGGCUCACUGGCUCGAUACUGACGCUGAGGUGCGAAAGCGUGGGGAUCAAACA
RNAcentral lists this ribosomal RNA (402 nucleotides) under uncultured bacterium. RNAcentral's name for it is "bacterial SSU rRNA". It matches the Rfam family "Bacterial small subunit ribosomal RNA", at positions 355 to 774 of the family's 1533-position model. The record is from RNAcentral.